Molecule: transfer RNA, 76 nt
Filed under: Aphanothece sp.
Lineage: Bacteria; Bacillati; Cyanobacteriota; Cyanophyceae; Chroococcales; Aphanothecaceae
Also listed under: 6 other names
Description: tRNA-Thr
Rfam family: tRNA
About the family: Transfer RNA (tRNA) molecules are approximately 80 nucleotides in length. Their secondary structure includes four short double-helical elements and three loops (D, anti-codon, and T loops). Further hydrogen bonds mediate the characteristic L-shaped molecular structure. tRNAs have two regions of fundamental functional importance: the anti-codon, which is responsible for specific mRNA codon recognition, and the 3' end, to which the tRNAs corresponding amino acid is attached (by aminoacyl-tRNA synthetases). tRNAs cope with the degeneracy of the genetic code in two manners: having more than one tRNA (with a specific anti-codon) for a particular amino acid; and 'wobble' base-pairing, i.e. permitting non-standard base-pairing at the 3rd anti-codon position.
Source: RNAcentral
GCCCACAUAGCUCAGUUGGUAGAGCACGUCCUUGGUAAGGACGAGGUCACCGGUUCAAUCCCGGUUGUGGGCUCCA